This 1290-nucleotide long non-coding RNA is filed under the name Panax ginseng (ginseng). RNAcentral's name for it is "long non-coding RNA (PGIN_LNC017939)". The record is from RNAcentral. Lineage: Eukaryota; Viridiplantae; Streptophyta; Magnoliopsida; Apiales; Araliaceae.
UCAAGUGUGGAUUCUUAGUUUUAAUUCAAUGAACUAAUUCUUUGUUUGAGAUUACAAUGGAUCUUAUUGUGUAGUUAAUUUUUAUAUGCUUUGCUAUCAAUUAUUAUGUUCUAUUAUGAGGAUUGUCUAUUGUGAUUUGGACUUAAUUGUUUAAUUGAUUGGCCAUCAAUUACCAUGAUAAUCUAUACGAACUCGAGAGAUGAAGUUUAGAUUUAGAUCCGAUCAUAAUAGCAUGUGUUUGUGAUUUCUGCAUAGAUGGAAUUCAUGAUUCGUGUUUAGGAUAGAGAUAAGCCUUUACGCCAUAUGUAAUCUUAUAGAGAACUUGUGCUUUAAAUACUUUUUAAUUGUAAUUCACAUAGAGAUAUAGUGGAUUAGUUAAUUAGGGUGUCUUGCUUAAUUCUAUCAUCUGUGGAUUUAAGUAAGUAUGGGUAUUAUACAACGAGAGGUGGUUUUAUCUGCUUUAGUGUUCUUGAUUAACAAUUCAGAAUAGAAAAUAAUUGAUGAGGAGUGUGUUAUCUUAAAUGAAGCAAUAAGUGAAGUUGUGAUCUUAAAUCUCCAUAAUCUAAUUUUUAAUUAGUGGUAAUUAGAAUUAGUUUAGUUAAAUAAUUUAAUUUAUAACAUUAAAUUCAUUGGUUUAAAUAAGAUUGAGUUGGUUACAGGUUAGUACUUGGUGAUUUUUAUUAAAUAAUUAUCUAUGGGAACGAUACUCAACUUAUCACUUUAUUACUUGUUGACCACGUAUACUUGCGUGUUGUGCGUAAUUAAAUUUUACCCAACAAAAUGUUGAGACGAUGCGCUGGGGUUGAGGUGGCAAGAUGACGAUUUUUCCUCUCACUGGGGUUAUCUCCGGUUUUAUUACUUGUUGACCACGUAUACUUGCGUGUUGUGCGUAAUUAGAUUUUACCCAACAAAAUGUUGAGACGAUGCGCUGGGGUUGAGGUGGCAAGAUGACGAUUUUGCCUCUCACUGGGGUUAUCUCCGGUUUGGGCUGAUAACAAAAGUUGCUCAGGGUUACAUCUGAGAUUGGACUAAGUGUUUGAAUUCCACAUAUUCAUCUUUAAGUGUGCCUGUCUUCCCGGUGUUAUCUUCGGGUUUUUGGAAUGAGUGUCUCGGUAGGAGGUCUGAGAUUGAAGCUGAUUGCAUGUAUUUGAAAUAAGCAUUUCCAGAGUUAUCCCUAGAACUACAACAGCAUUCCUUGGGGUUAUCUCCAAGGAUUAAUGUGGCGACCCCAAAUCCGGAUACUUGAAACCCGAACUCGGUUCUCCACGAUACCAUUUCUUUAAGCUGAAU